RNAcentral lists this non-coding RNA (29 nucleotides) under Mus musculus (house mouse). Lineage: Eukaryota; Metazoa; Chordata; Mammalia; Rodentia; Muridae. The record is from RNAcentral.
UGCAAAGCCUUUUCUGAAUUUGUCGGUGU